This 253-nucleotide ribosomal RNA is filed under the name uncultured bacterium. Its description in RNAcentral is "partial 16S ribosomal RNA". It matches the Rfam family "Bacterial small subunit ribosomal RNA", at positions 524 to 776 of the family's 1533-position model. The record is from RNAcentral.
UACGUAUGGUGCAAGCGUUAUCCGGAAUGACUGGGUGUAAAGGGAGCGUAGACGGUCGUUCAAGUCUGAUGUGAAAGCCCUCGGCUUAACUGGGGGAGUGCAUUGGAAACUGAAGGACUAGAGUAUCGGAGAGGCAAGUGGAAUUCCUAGUGUAGCGGUGAAAUGCGUAGAUAUUAGGAGGAACACCAGUGGCGAAGGCGGCUUGCUGGACGAAAACUGACGUUGAGGCUCGAAAGCGUGGGGAGCAAACAGG